RNAcentral lists this ribosomal RNA (499 nucleotides) under uncultured bacterium. Its description in RNAcentral is "partial 16S ribosomal RNA". It matches the Rfam family "Bacterial small subunit ribosomal RNA", at positions 28 to 507 of the family's 1533-position model. The record is from RNAcentral.
GACGAACGCUGGCGGCGUGCUUAACACAUGCAAGUCGAACGGGCCCGCUCUCUUUUUUGGGGGUGGGUUGAGUGGCGAACGGGUGAGUAUCACGUGAGUAACCUGCCCCCUGCUCCUGGAUAACUGCUUGAAAGGGCGGCUAAUACGGGGUGUGCCGGCUGGUCCGCAUGGGCCUGGUCUGGAUAGUUUCAUCUUCGGGUGUUUCGGUGGGGGAUGGGCUCGCGGCCUAUCAGCUUGUUGGUGGGGUGAUGGCCCACCAAGGCGGUGACGGGUAGCCGGCCUGAGAGGGUGGGCGGCCACACUGGGACUGAGACACGGCCCAGACUCCUGCGGGAGGCAGCAGUGGGGGGUAUUGCACAAUGGGCGGAAGCCUGAUGCAGCGACGUCGCGUGAGGGGUGGAGGCCUUCGGGUUGUGAACCUCUUUCUCCGGUGGUGAAGGCCCUGUCCGUUGCGGCGGGGUUGACGGUAGCCGGGUAUGAAGCGCCGGCUAACUACGUG